GCCAUAUUGAAAUUCGUAAGGAGGCAAUUUCACGGUAUAUAUGUACACAGAAUGUUCGCUUGUACAGCGCCUUAUCCGGGCUUAUGGUCAGGUCAAGGGCUACACAACUGACAAAAGGUUCAGAAGGGUUGAGAGCAGUCCUUCCCUUGCAAUGAUGGGAGGCUGACAGAGAGGAGGGGCACCGUCUGCUGGAUGGCCUGUAGUGCUGAUGGCAGCAACUGGACGUCUUGUGUCUCCUGAAGACGACGGAAGAAAACAUCUCUCUGGGCUGUAGGAGGCAGAGAAGAGUAGUGCCUACUCCUUUUUAUCCUAUUGGAUGGUAUGAGACUUGCACUCUUAACCAGUCUCUCUCUCAAUGAAUGUAGUUGCUUG
Pomacea canaliculata is the source of this 372-nucleotide long non-coding RNA. RefSeq lists it as uncharacterized. The transcript has 3 exons. NCBI's taxonomy places the organism in Eukaryota, Metazoa, Mollusca, Gastropoda, Architaenioglossa, Ampullariidae. The record is from RefSeq and is a predicted model, not a curated record.